RNAcentral lists this ribosomal RNA (1193 nucleotides) under Trichoderma longibrachiatum. RNAcentral describes it as "LSU rRNA". It matches the Rfam family "Eukaryotic large subunit ribosomal RNA", at positions 78 to 1301 of the family's 3401-position model. Lineage: Eukaryota; Fungi; Ascomycota; Sordariomycetes; Hypocreales; Hypocreaceae. The record is from RNAcentral.
CCCCAGUAACGGCGAGUGAAGCGGCAACAGCUCAAAUUUGAAAUCUGGCCCUUACGGGUCCGAGUUGUAAUUUGUAGAGGAUGCUUUUGGCAAGGCGCCGCCCGAGUUCCCUGGAACGGGACGCCACAGAGGGUGAGAGCCCCGUCUGGCUGGCCGCCGAGCCUCUGUAAAGCUCCUUCGACGAGUCGAGUAGUUUGGGAAUGCUGCUCAAAAUGGGAGGUAUAUGUCUUCUAAAGCUAAAUAUUGGCCAGAGACCGAUAGCGCACAAGUAGAGUGAUCGAAAGAUGAAAAGCACCUUGAAAAGAGGGUUAAAUAGUACGUGAAAUUGUUGAAAGGGAAGCGCUUGUGACCAGACUUGGGCGCGGCGGAUCAUCCGGGGUUCUCCCCGGUGCACUUCGCCGCGUCCAGGCCAGCAUCAGUUCGUCGCGGGGGAAAAAGGCUUCGGGAACGUGGCUCCCUCGGGAGUGUUAUAGCCCGUUGCGUAAUACCCUGCGGUGGACUGAGGACCGCGCAUCUGCAAGGAUGCUGGCGUAAUGGUCACCAGCGACCCGUCUUGAAACACGGACCAAGGAGUCGUCUUCGUAUGCGAGUGUUCGGGUGUCAAACCCCUACGCGUAAUGAAAGUGAACGCAGGUGAGAGCUUCGGCGCAUCAUCGACCGAUCCUGAUGUUCUCGGAUGGAUUUGAGUAAGAGCAUACGGGGCCGGACCCGAAAGAAGGUGAACUAUGCCUGUAUAGGGUGAAGCCAGAGGAAACUCUGGUGGAGGCUCGCAGCGGUUCUGACGUGCAAAUCGAUCGUCAAAUAUGGGCAUGGGGGCGAAAGACUAAUCGAACCUUCUAGUAGCUGGUUUCCGCCGAAGUUUCCCUCAGGAUAGCAGUGUUGAACUCAGUUUUAUGAGGUAAAGCGAAUGAUUAGGGACCCGGGGGCGCUAUAUUGCCUUCAUCCAUUCUCAAACUUUAAAUAUGUAAGAAGCCCUUGUUGCUUAAUUGAACGUGGGCAUUCGAAUGUAUCAACACUAGUGGGCCAUUUUUGGUAAGCAGAACUGGCGAUGCGGGAUGAACCGAACGCGAGGUUAAGGUGCCAGAGUAGACGCUCAUCAGACACCACAAAAGGCGUUAGUACAUCUUGACAGCAGGACGGUGGCCAUGGAAGUCGGAAUCCGCUAAGGACUGUGUAACAACUCACCUGCCGAA